Arachis ipaensis is the source of this 206-nucleotide non-coding RNA. The record is from RefSeq and is a predicted model, not a curated record. NCBI's taxonomy places the organism in Eukaryota, Viridiplantae, Streptophyta, Magnoliopsida, Fabales, Fabaceae.
AAUUGAGACAUUGAGGUUGAAAACUCGAUACUCUGUUGACGCUACGAUGUAAGUGUAUGACCGGACACUAUAUAAAUUUCCGAGAAUGUUACCCCCAUUGAGUAAUAUUGAUUAUUUGAGAAAAAGCUAUGCAUAGACUCUUGGGGAUGCACGUCGGGGGACAGUCUAAGUACAAUUCAGACUUGUCGGGUUGGCUGGAUAACCGA